RNAcentral lists this ribosomal RNA (253 nucleotides) under uncultured bacterium. RNAcentral describes it as "partial 16S ribosomal RNA". It matches the Rfam family "Bacterial small subunit ribosomal RNA", at positions 524 to 776 of the family's 1533-position model. The record is from RNAcentral.
UACGGAGGGUGCAAGCGUUAAUCGGAAUUACUGGGCGUAAAGCGCGCGCAGGCGGUUAAUUCAGCCAGGUGUGAAAUCCCCGGGCUCAACCCGGGAAUUGCAUCUGAAACUGGUCAGCUAGAGUGCAGUAGAGGGGGGUAGAAUUCCAUGUGUAGCGGUGAAAUGCGUAGAGAUGUGGAGGAAUACCGGUGGCGAAGGCGGCCCCCUGGACAAAGACUGACGCUCAGGUGCGAAAGCGUGGGUAGCAAACAGG